This 162-nucleotide ribosomal RNA is filed under the name uncultured eukaryote. RNAcentral's name for it is "partial 18S rRNA". It matches the Rfam family "Eukaryotic small subunit ribosomal RNA", at positions 1487 to 1650 of the family's 1831-position model. The record is from RNAcentral.
CCGCACGCGCGCUACACUGACGGAGCCAGCGAGUACUUCCUUGUCCGAAAGGUCCGGGUAAUCUUGUUAAACUCCGUCGUGCUGGGGAUAGAGCAUUGCAAUUAUUGCUCUUCAACGAGGAAUCCCUAGUAAGCGCAAGUCAUCAGCUUGCGUGGAUNACGU